This is an RNA transcript of Oncorhynchus keta (chum salmon), 2685 nucleotides long. It is a transcript of the gene named putative claudin-24, with no coding region annotated. NCBI's taxonomy places the organism in Eukaryota, Metazoa, Chordata, Actinopteri, Salmoniformes, Salmonidae. The record is from RefSeq and is a predicted model, not a curated record. The transcript has a single exon.
CCAUGUACCCUCCCUCCCCUGGUCCAUUGGCAGACCAGCAGCCUCAGCAGGGGGUAGGGGAGGGAAGAGGAGGGCCAUGUGCCAGAGAGCCCCUUUCCUCCCAGCCUCUAGCCAGAUGAUGUGUGUUUCUGUGGAGUGGGACUGUUAGUGAAGGAGCUCUCCGCCUGCCUGUGAACAGAACAGUAUUCAGCAGUAAGUAGCAGGUGCUGUGAGAAGCCUCUCUGUUCCUACUGGACAUCAGGAGCUGCCAGACCUCUCCAGAACCUCUCCAGCAGCCAGAGAAGAGCUCUUGAGGGUCAACGGAGCGAGGCCAGAGAGGGGCGGGUAAACCAUGGACCUGUGUGCCUCCACUCUCGAGCUGCUGGGGAUGGUAGUGUACAUGGCAGCCUGGCUGUGUGCUCUGGCCACCACCCUGAUGCCACAGUGGCUGACCCUGUCCACAGACCUCUUGCUCACAGAGAGCUAUGAGCUGGGUCUCUGGGAGACCUGUGUGGUCCAGGACAUGGGGGGGAUGGAGUGUCGACCCUACGACAGCCUGCUGGGCCUGCCUCAGGACAUCAAGGUGGCCCGUGUCUUCAUGUGUAUCUCCCUGGCUGUGGGCCUGCUGGGCCUGCUGCUGGCUAUCCCUGGUCUUCACCUGGUCAACAGCUUCAGCCAGGGGCUGGAGGGCUGCAGGGCCAAGAGGAUUAUGAAGGUGGCAGGAGGGGUGCUGGGGAUGGUAGCUGGGGUGCUUUCUCUGGUCCCUGUUUCCUAUGUCGCCCACUUGACGGUAAUGCGUUAUUUUGAUGAGUCGGUGCCGGAGGUGGUGCCGCGCUGGGAGUUUGGUGAUGCCCUGUUCUGCGGGUGGGUGGGGGUUCCUCCUGCUGGUGGCUGGAUUACUCCUGUUUGCAUCCUGUCUGGGGCCUCUGGCAGACUAUUACGGUGCACCCCAGGCUGACCAUUCCAGGGGACCCCAGGCAGACUAUUACGGUGCACCCCAGGCUGACCAUUCCAGGGGACCCCAGGCAGACUAUUACGGUGCACCCCAGGCUGACCAUUCCAGGGGACCCCAGGCAGACUAUUACGGUGCACCCCAGGCUGACCAUUCCAGGGGACCCCAGGCAGACGGAGCACCCCAGGCACAAUCGCAGAAGAGAUACGAGGUCCGGAAUACAGAUCAUUCCUCCAGGAAACCUCCAGAGUAUGUCUGAGGCGAGGGGAAGGGAGAAGAGAGGAGAGGCGAUACGAGGUCCGGAAUACAGAUCAUUCCUCCAGGAAACCUCCAGAGUAUGUCUGAGGCGAGGGGAAGGGAGAAGAGAGGAGAGGCGAUACGAGGUCCGGAAUACAGAUCAUUCCUCCAGGAAACCUCCAGAGUAUGUCUGAGGCGAGGGGAAGGGAGAAGAGAGGAGAGGCGAUACGAGGUCCGGAAUACAGAUCAUUCCUCCAGGAAACCUCCAGAGUAUGUCUGAGGCGAGGGGAAGGGAGAAGAGAGGAGAGGCGAUACGAGGUCCAGAGUAUGGAUCAUUCCUCCAGGAAACCUCCAGAGUAUGUCUGAGGUGAGGGGAUGGGAGGUUUACUGGAGGAAUGAUCCGUACUCCGAACCUCGUAUCUCUUCUCCUCUCUCUGAGGCGAGGGGAGGUGGAAGGAAGGAGAGGGGAGGGGAGAGGUAUUCUAUUCUGGAAGGUUUAUGGAUGAUUCUGCCUCUCUUGAAAAUAGUUAAACUGCCUAAGAACCAGCCCUGGCACGCUGGCUGACUGCUUUUUAUGUCAAACCCAUAGGGAAUACCUGGAGCAACUUUCACAAUACAUUCUUUUUAUGUCAGAUUCAGAGGGAAUUGUUUGGAUGUAAACCUGCUAUAUCCACACCCCAUCCUCCCCGACUCUAUAAAACCUGCUCCAGCCUCACCCCAUCCUCCCUGACUCUAUAAAACCUGCUCUAGCCUCACCCCAUCCUCCCUGACUCUAUAAAACCUGCUCUAGCCUCACCCCAUCCUCCCUGACUCUAUAAAACCUGCUCUAGCCUCACCCCAUCCUCCCUGACUCUUUAAAACCUGCUCUAGCCUCACCCCAUCCUCGCUGACUCUAUAAAACCUGCUCCAGCCUCACCCCAUCCUCGCUGACUCUAUAAAACCUGCUCCAGCCUCACCCCAUCCUCCCUGACUCUUUAAAACCUGCUCCAGCCUCACCCCAUCCUCCCUGACUCUAUAAAAACUGCUCCAGCCUCACCCCAUCCUCGCUGACUCUAUAAAACCUGCUCCAGCCUCACCCCAUCCUCACUGACUCUAUAAAACCUGCUCCAGCCUCACCCCAUCCUCGCUGACUCUAUAAAACCUGCUCCAGCCUCACCCCAUCCUCACUGACUCUAUAAAACCUGAUCCAGCCUCACCCCAUCCUCGCUGACUCUAUAAAACCUGCUCCAGCCUCGCCUCAUCCUCCCUGACGCUGUAAUGCCUGUAUGCAACACUUUCUGACACAUUUUUUUUAAUAAUGUCAAUUUAAUGUAGAAAUGAAUCACUUGAUAUACAGUAAUUGCAAGAAAAAAUAGUUUAUUGUUAUAUAUACAAGUAUAUGUUCACUGAAUUUAAGAUGUUUUUGUAAAUAAUAGUUGACAAUUAUAUCAAUCAUAAAUCAAUAAUCUACUGUAAUGAAUUGAUCUGAAUAAAAUUGGUUUCCCUCCAACAUGCUGAGGUUGACAUCCAGACUACAA